RNAcentral lists this ribosomal RNA (252 nucleotides) under uncultured bacterium. RNAcentral describes it as "partial 16S ribosomal RNA". It matches the Rfam family "Bacterial small subunit ribosomal RNA", at positions 524 to 776 of the family's 1533-position model. The record is from RNAcentral.
UACGGAGGAUGCGAGCGUUAUCCGGAUUUAUUGGGUUUAAAGGGUGCGUAGGCGGUUUUUUAAGUUAGUGGUUAAACGUCGGGGCUUCACCUUGAUUUGCCAUUAAUACUGUAAGACUCGAGUUCAGACGAGGUAGGCGGAAUAAGUUAAGUAGCGGUGAAAUGCUUAGAUAUCAGGAGGAACAUCGGUGGCGUAAGCGCUUUACUGGGCCGUAAUUGACGCUGAGGAACGAAAGCCAGGGUAGCAAAUGGG